Molecule: ribosomal RNA, 120 nt
Filed under: Helianthus annuus (common sunflower)
Lineage: Eukaryota; Viridiplantae; Streptophyta; Magnoliopsida; Asterales; Asteraceae
Source: RNAcentral
GGUUGCGAUCAUACCAGCAUAAUGCACCGGAUCCCAUCAGAACUCCGCAGUUAAGCGUGCAUUGGGCAGAGAGUAGUACUAGGAUGGGUGACCCCCUGGGAAGUCCUCGUGUUGCAUCCC